Molecule: long non-coding RNA, 995 nt
Organism: Pomacea canaliculata
Lineage: Eukaryota; Metazoa; Mollusca; Gastropoda; Architaenioglossa; Ampullariidae
Exons: 2
Source: RefSeq, a predicted model, not a curated record
UCCCUAAUGGAUCCGGAGAACCUUUAGCGUCCUUCCAAGAAUGUCGAAAAUUAUAACAGGUGUUGUUUGGAUAGCUGGUUUCACUGGCGUGGGAUGGUGUCUGAUGCAAACAAUCACUCCUACGGAAGAACAAAUACGUGAAAAACUGCGUAGAGAAAACAAUGUCUCAGAGUGGACCAGGCAAAACAAUAAAGACUUAAUGGCUGCUUUGAAGAAAACAGCAGGCAUUGAAGAUGACAAGAAUAAAAAGAGUUCAUGAAUCGAAACAGAGGGAGGGCUUUAACUUUCCGAAAGUCAUGGAGACUUCACAUUUCUUAGAAAGCAGGCACUAUUUCAUGCAUGUGAAGAAAUUCAUCAGUUUUGCAACAGAAUUAUGAGUUUGUUUGAUCAAGAUCAAUUGUGAAGCAGGAUGAUAGUCGAGUACAUUGGUCUUGGCGUAUCAUUUCAAGAUGCUCAGACUGGUUACCAUAACAAAAUGUCAGUCGGGUUGAAAGGAUUGUAAUUUUUCUCUUUACCAAUAGAACUUAUCAGGGGUGUCAUUACACUAACAAUUACAUUUAAGAUCCUGGUUAAUUAGAGGUCUUCUUGUAUUGCUGUUCUCAAAAGGUGAAGCACUAAGGCUUUGUCACAAGAUGAGGACUGCUAUAGGAAGAUAAAAAUUUGUUGGUUUGUGCUGAGGUAGAAAAGAUGGAAUAUGGUGAUUGAUUAAUCCUAAAUGUGGGCAACACAAUUAAGUUAAACACAUUAAAAGUAACAUGAAAUUUAAAGUAUGAGUGUACGAUUAAGUAUGAGUGUACGAUUGAAGGGUUGUAAGACCAUCACGUGUGCAUGAAUUUUGUGUGCUCAAAUGUGAUUUCUGUGGUAGCUUAAAGACUGACGAAAGUGGAACCAUUUUGGACAAAUGCUAUUGGAGGUAUUGUUCGAAUCAGGCCUGUUUGAUUCACAUUUACAUGAAAGCUGUUUAAUGAUGUAAUAAAGAAUCAUUAGAUUUGUGA